UUUUUCUGCCAAAUCAUCCUUUUUGAAGGUACUUCACAAAACACAGCGCCAUUUAUUUUCCAGUGCAUCUUUAGUGGCUUUGCUUGUCUUUGAGAAUAAGCUUUGCUUCUAGCAGAAUCAGUCAAAGCCUCAAUCCAAUAUUCAGUCAAAUCCUAUUGGAAGAAUGGGAUCAAAAUCGGAGUUUGGAAGGAUAGUUAUACCCGUUUGCAUAGUUAUGCCUGAAUAAUGCUACUCGUUUACCACUCUAGAGUGGAGAAUGGAAAAAUUCGUCUUUUUAUUUUAAUUGAUUCAGAAUGUAACUUUUUCAAGAAAAUAGUCUAUACCAUAGAUAAUUU
Molecule: long non-coding RNA, 335 nt
Organism: Dermochelys coriacea (leatherback sea turtle)
Lineage: Eukaryota; Metazoa; Chordata; Testudines; Dermochelyidae
Exons: 2
Source: RefSeq, a predicted model, not a curated record